RNAcentral lists this ribosomal RNA (433 nucleotides) under uncultured bacterium. RNAcentral's name for it is "partial 16S ribosomal RNA". The stretch from base 45 to 433 matches the Rfam family "Bacterial small subunit ribosomal RNA", at positions 39 to 507 of the family's 1533-position model. The record is from RNAcentral.
GGGGGGGGGGGGGGGGGGGGGGGGGGGGGGGGGGGGGGGGGGGGGGGGCGGGUCUGGGGGGGCAGGGGGGCGUAAGGGGUGGGGAGCUGCCCGUGGGUUGGGCAUAGCUGCGCGAGAGGGGUGCGCCGACCGGCUAAUGUCUUCGGACCAAAGAUUUAUCGCCUUUGGAUGGGCCCGCGUUGGAUUAGCUAGUUGUGAGGGUAAAAGCCUACCAAGGCGACGAGCCAUAGCUGGUCUGAGAGGAUGAUCAGCCACACUUGGACUGAGACACGGCCCAGACUCCUACGGGAGGCAGCAGUUGGGAAUAUUGGACAAUGGGCGAAAGCCUGAUCCAGCAAUGCCGCGUGAGUUAUGAAGGCCUUAGGGUUGUAAAGCUCUUUUACCCGGGAUGAUAAUGACAGUACCGGGAGAAUAAGCUCCGGCUAACUCCGUG